This 314-nucleotide long non-coding RNA is filed under the name Citrus sinensis (sweet orange). RNAcentral's name for it is "long non-coding RNA (CSIN_LNC003682)". Lineage: Eukaryota; Viridiplantae; Streptophyta; Magnoliopsida; Sapindales; Rutaceae. The record is from RNAcentral.
UUGGCCCUGUGGUCCGGUGGUGAACCAUUAUCCUUAAAAUCAAGCAUGAUUAUAAGGGUAAUGGUUCGAGUCUUCACGGAUUAUAACUCUCUCAAUUAAUUAUAAUUAUGUGGAGAUUGUUUAUAACGUUUUUCUCCCUUGCGAAAUACGAGUGGAGUCGAGACAUCUCUCUCUAUUGAGAGAUAUUUGACUGGACAUGUACUUGAGAGAUAUUUGGCUGAACAUGUACUUCAUAGCAUAAAAAUGUAAUAAUAUAAGUCCCAGAUAUAUAUCUGAUUAUAAAUAUCAAUGCAAUAAUAUAUUGUCAUUUAUAA